GGCUGAAAUUCGCCUUCAUGAAGUCGGAAUUGCUAGUAAUGGCAGGUCAGCAUACUGCCGUGAAUACGUUCCCGGGCCUUGUACACACCGCCCGUCACACCAUGAGAGUUGGGAAUACCCGAAGCCUGUGAGCCAACAAACGAGGCAGCAGUCGAAGGUAGAAUCAAUGAGUUGGGGUAAAGUCGUAACAAGGUACC
This 197-nucleotide ribosomal RNA is filed under the name uncultured bacterium. Its description in RNAcentral is "partial 16S ribosomal RNA". It matches the Rfam family "Bacterial small subunit ribosomal RNA", at positions 1303 to 1500 of the family's 1533-position model. The record is from RNAcentral.